AUGAAGUUAGCUCGCGCGGCGUCGCCGGACGCUGUCUGCGAGCGCGCCGGCUCAAACGAAAGGGAUAAGACUGCCGCCGAAAAAGGGUGCUCUAGGAAGAGAGGCCACACAGCAACGUCAGACAUCGUACACGAGGGCGACGGCUCGAACAAAAUUGAUGAGACGGCCACUGAAAAAGAGUGCUCAAGGAAGAGAGGCUGCGUAGCGUCAGCAGACAUCGUCCAUGAGGACGCCGGCUCCAAUGAAAGGGAUGAGACAACCAUCGAAAAAGGGUGCUCGAGGAAGAUAGGCCGCGUGACGUCGCCAGCCAUUGUCCACGAGGGUGGUGGCUCGAAUGAAAGGGAUGAGCCAACUGCCAAAAAAGUAAAUUCUGAAACUCAUUUGGAUAAGAAGACCAUCAAAGUCAUGACAUACAACGUAUGGUUUCGGGAGGAUUUGGAACUGACGAAAAGGAUGUAUGCUCUUGGAAAUCUUAUUCAGCACCACAACCCAGAUCUUAUAUGCUUCCAGGAGGUUACACCAAACAUAUAUAUGCUUCUCCAAAAAUCUGGCUGGUGGCAAGAAUACAAAUGCUCUCUGUCAGCUAGGAUGGCCAUGCAGAGGCAAUAUUACUGCAUGCAGAUGAGCAAGUUGCCCGUGAGUUCAUUCGAAUGCAUGCCAUUUUCCAACUCAGUCAUGGAAAGGGAGCUGUGCAUGGCAGACAUCAACAUUGGAGGUGCGACCAAGUUGGUGUUGGCCACAAGCCACCUGGAGAGCCCCUGCGCGUGGAAUCAGAUGUACAGCAAGGAACGAGUAACUCAGGCGAAUGCAUCCAUGAGGAUAUUGGACAAGUUCCGCAACGUGAUAUUCUGCGGAGACAUGAACUGGGACGACAAAGGCGACGGGCCAUUCCCUCUCUCAGACGGCUGGGUCGAUGCCUGGGCUGAGCUGAAGCCAGGCGAGGACGGCUGGACGUACGACACGCGGGCUAACGGUAUGCUGGCAGGCAACCGCAAGCUGCAGAAGAGGCUGGACCGGUUUGUGUGCAAGCUGCCGGAUUUCGAGAUCAACACCAUUGAGAUGAUCGGGAAGGAGGCGAUACCUGGGAUAUCACACUACAAGGAGAAGACUGUCCGCAAGGUAGUCCAGAACAUUGAGUAUCCUGUGUUGCCUAGUGACCACUUCGGGCUUGUUCUGAGCAUCACCUACGCAUCAUAG
Molecule: ribosomal RNA, 1197 nt
Filed under: Triticum aestivum (bread wheat)
Lineage: Eukaryota; Viridiplantae; Streptophyta; Magnoliopsida; Poales; Poaceae
Description: partial small subunit ribosomal RNA
Source: RNAcentral